Molecule: transfer RNA, 75 nt
Filed under: Candidatus Altimarinota bacterium
Lineage: Bacteria; Candidatus Altimarinota
Description: tRNA-Arg
Rfam family: tRNA
About the family: Transfer RNA (tRNA) molecules are approximately 80 nucleotides in length. Their secondary structure includes four short double-helical elements and three loops (D, anti-codon, and T loops).
Source: RNAcentral
GCUCGAGUAGCUCAGUGGAAGAGCAGUGGCCUUCUAAGCCAAAGGUCGUAGGUUCGACCCCUGCCUCGAGCACCA